This 400-nucleotide ribosomal RNA is filed under the name uncultured bacterium. RNAcentral's name for it is "bacterial SSU rRNA". It matches the Rfam family "Bacterial small subunit ribosomal RNA", at positions 30 to 430 of the family's 1533-position model. The record is from RNAcentral.
AUUGAACGCUGGCGGCAUGCCUUACACAUGCAAGUCGAACGGCAGCACGGGAGCAAUCCUGGUGGCGAGUGGCGAACGGGUGAGUAAUAUAUCGGAACGUGCCCAGUCGUGGGGGAUAACGUAGCGAAAGCUACGCUAAUACCGCAUACGAUCUAUGGAUGAAAGCGGGGGAUCGCAAGACCUCGCGCGAUUGGAGCGGCCGAUAUCAGAUUAGGUAGUUGGUGAGGUAAAGGCUCACCAAGCCGACGAUCUGUAGCUGGUCUGAGAGGACGACCAGCCACACUGGGACUGAGACACGGCCCAGACUCCUACGGGAGGCAGCAGUGGGGAAUUUUUGGACAAUGGGCGCAAGCCUGAUCCAGCAAUGCCGCGUGCAGGAUGAAGGCCUCGGUUGGUUAAC